This 372-nucleotide ribosomal RNA is filed under the name uncultured organism. Its description in RNAcentral is "bacterial SSU rRNA". It matches the Rfam family "Bacterial small subunit ribosomal RNA", at positions 526 to 896 of the family's 1533-position model. The record is from RNAcentral.
CGUAGGGUGCGAGCGUUAAUCGGAAUUACUGGGCGUAAAGCGUGCGCAGGCGGUUGUGUAAGACAGGCGUGAAAUCCCCGGGCUCAACCUGGGAACUGCGCUUGUGACUGCACGGCUAGAGUACGGCAGAGGGGGGUGGAAUUCCGCGUGUAGCAGUGAAAUGCGUAGAGAUGUGGAGGAACACCAAUGGCGAAGGCAGCCCCCUGGGUCGAUACUGACGCUCAUGCACGAAAGCGUGGGUAGCAAACAGGAUUAGAUACCCUGGUAGUCCACGCCCUAAACGAUGUCAACUAGGUGUUGGGAGGGUAAAACCUUUUAGUACCGGGGCUAACGCGUGAAGUUGACCGCCUGGGGAGUACGGCCGCAAGGUUA